Drosophila erecta is the source of this 119-nucleotide long non-coding RNA. RefSeq lists it as uncharacterized. The transcript has 3 exons. NCBI's taxonomy places the organism in Eukaryota, Metazoa, Arthropoda, Insecta, Diptera, Drosophilidae. The record is from RefSeq and is a predicted model, not a curated record.
GGCAUUUUGGUUUCGCUAGAUAGUAGAUAGGGACAGUGUAUGAAUCGGAUCCCUCCGAACUUGUUUUACGUGGCAUGUUCCACAUUGAAGGGAUUACAACCACGGCAUACUAUACACCC